AAGAAAUUAACGAAGAUUUCCCUAGUAACGGCGAGUGAAAAGGAAUAAGCUCAGCGCUGAAUCCCUUAGCCUUUAGUUAAGGGACCUGUAGCGUAAAGGAGAGCCUAUCUGUCGAGUUACGACUUCGGAAGCUUCCUUGAAUGGAACCCCAAAGCAGGUGCGAGGCCUGUAACGAAGUUAAACUCGGCGGUUUGCGCCUCUAUAGAGUCGGGUUGCUUGAGAGUGCAGCCCUAAGUCGAAGGUAAACCCCUUCUAAAGCUAAAUAUGACCACGAGACCGAUAGCGAACAAGUACCGCGAGGGAAAGUUGAAAAGAACUUUGAGGAGAGAGUUCAAAAGGGCGUGAAACCGCUUAGAAUAAAACGGACGGAGCCGUCGGGCGCCUUCGGAAAUCAGUUAAUCGAAAGCGAAAAGCGUUUUAGUCGGAAUGAACUAGUACGACUAGAGCGUUGUAGUAGCGAUCGUUUAAUGCAUUUUUCGAAGGUUAGCAUCGCGACCGAUACGAAAGGCUGGUGAAGCGAUUCGAUUGAGGGCGACACCCUUUACGGGGUAUCGUAACCAGUCUUAUCGCCCUAGUCGCCAGACCGCAGUAGUAUCGGGCACUUUAAAAAUUAAAAUAUAUAUCGGCAGUAAAGCUCGACGAGUAGCGGAUAUUCGGUCGACUGAUUAACGCCUGCUCGCAGGUGUCGAUUAGUCCGGCUCGAUUUAGAAGUCGCCGUCGACGUAUCGAUAUAUAGGUGUCAGCGAUGUCAGCGUCGGUCACCCGUCCGACCCGUCUUGAAACACGGACCAAGGAGUCUAACAUAUGCGCGAGCUAAUGGGUGGCAAACCCAAAAGCGCAAUAAAAGUAAACGCUGUUUCGGACAGCUAAGGUACGAUCCUAGGUUCGCCCUGGGCGCAGUACCGUCCCGUCUUAACCGCAUGUCGGUAGGGCGGAGAUAGAGCGUAUACGUUGGGACCCGAAAGAUGGUGAACUAUGCCUGAGCAGAGCGAAGCCAGAGGAAACUCUGGUGGAGGUUCGUAGCGGUUCUGACGUGCAAAUCGAUCGUCAGACUUGGGUAUAGGGGCGAAAGACUAAUCGAACCAUC
Molecule: ribosomal RNA, 1087 nt
Rfam family: Eukaryotic large subunit ribosomal RNA